Molecule: transfer RNA, 85 nt
Filed under: Streptococcus danieliae
Lineage: Bacteria; Bacillati; Bacillota; Bacilli; Lactobacillales; Streptococcaceae
Also listed under: 2 other names
Description: tRNA-Leu
Rfam family: tRNA
About the family: Transfer RNA (tRNA) molecules are approximately 80 nucleotides in length. Their secondary structure includes four short double-helical elements and three loops (D, anti-codon, and T loops).
Source: RNAcentral
GCCGGGGUGGCGGAACUGGCAGACGCACAGGACUUAAAAUCCUGCGAUCAUUUCGAUCGUACCGGUUCGAUUCCGGUCCUCGGCA